CCUACGGGAGGCAGCAGUCGGGAAUAUUGCGCAAUGGAGGAAACUCUGACGCAGUGACGCCGCGUGCAGGAAGAAGGUUUUCGGAUUGUAAACUGCUUUAGACAGGGAAGAAAAAAGACAGUACCUGUAGAAUAAGCUCCGGCUAACUACGUGCCAGCAGCCGCGGUAAUACGUAGGGAGCAAGCGUUAUCCGGAUUUAUUGGGUGUAAAGGGUGCGUAGACGGAGAAGCAAGUUAGUUGUGAAAUCCUAUGGCUUAACCAUAGAACUGCAUUUGAAACUGUUAUUCUAGAGUAUGGGAGAGGUAGGUGGAAUUCUUGGUGUAGGGGUAAAAUCCGUAGAGAUCAAGAGGAAUACUCAUUGCGAAGGCGACCUGCUAGAACAUAACUGACGCUGAUGCGCGAAAGCGUGGGGAGCAAACAGGAUUAGAUACCCCUGUAGUC
This 441-nucleotide ribosomal RNA is filed under the name uncultured bacterium. Its description in RNAcentral is "partial 16S ribosomal RNA". It matches the Rfam family "Bacterial small subunit ribosomal RNA", at positions 338 to 795 of the family's 1533-position model. The record is from RNAcentral.